UACGAAGGGGGCUAGCGUUGUUCGGAUUUACUGGGCGUAAAGCGCACGUAGGCGGAUUGUUAAGUCAGGGGUGAAAUUCCGGAGCUCAACUCCGGAACUGCCUUUGAUACUGGCAAUCUUGAGGCUGGAAGAGGUUAGUGGAAUUCCCAGUGUAGAGGUGAAAUUCGUAGAUAUUGGGAAGAACACCGGUGGCGAAGGCGGCAUCCUGGACCGGCAUUGACGCUGAGGCGCGAAAGCCAGGGGAGCAAACGGG
This 253-nucleotide ribosomal RNA is filed under the name uncultured bacterium. Its description in RNAcentral is "partial 16S ribosomal RNA". It matches the Rfam family "Bacterial small subunit ribosomal RNA", at positions 524 to 776 of the family's 1533-position model. The record is from RNAcentral.